This 861-nucleotide long non-coding RNA is filed under the name Equus asinus (donkey). Its description in RNAcentral is "lncRNA (ENSEASG00005026865.1)". Lineage: Eukaryota; Metazoa; Chordata; Mammalia; Perissodactyla; Equidae. The record is from RNAcentral.
GCAGUUUAUCUGAAAUUCAAAUUGAACUGGGCAUCCUGUAUUUUUAUUUGUUAAAUCUGGCAACCCUGGACCCGUGAGCAUGUCACUGCACCUCUCUGAGGCUCAGUUUCUUCAUCUUUGAAAAUGAACCAAAAUAUAGCCCUGUGAGGACACUGUGUCAAUGGCAUGAGAUGAGAGUUCCUGUUUCAGACCCCCGAUCUGUAGGAUGCCAAUGAAACAUCUUCAGAAAGCUACCUGAUGGGGUGGAAAUAACUCUACCACUUACUGGCUAUGUGACCUUGUGCGAGUCACUUACCCUCUCUGAGCCUCCGUUGACUCAUCUGUGAAAGGGGCUCAUCACAGUGCUGCCUCCUUGGGGUUGUGAUGACGAAAUGAGAUGGUGUGUUAAGCCCUACUACGAAGCCUAGCGGUAGGGCUCACCAGGGAGCGCCCACCCCCAUCUGGCAAACGCACCAAGAUACAUCUUCAGUUUUAAGACAUCCCAGGGAGGGCAAUGCUCACCCACGGAACGACUGGGUAAAGGUGGCCUUUCAGGCCCACCAUGGGCAGUGGUCACUUACGCUGGUCCCUGAAGUGACAGGCGGGGGAAGACGGAGGAGAUGGGCCUUUUGCUCUGUGCCCACCAGGUGCCAGGGACAAGCCACAGUCCUGUGGAAGCCUCGCCAGUCCCGGGGGUCGAUGGUCCUCCCCAGACACAGGAGUUCGCUGGUGCAGGAGCACAAAGCAAAAGGGAGGCAGACGCUGAAUUUGAACCCACGCCGCUCCAUCUGCAUGCCAAAUUAUUUGCUGUUUACCAUCCCCUCCAUUUUUCAUAAAAAAAUCCCCAGAAGCGCUUUUAUCUGCAGAGAGAGGCAAAGAAUA